This 406-nucleotide ribosomal RNA is filed under the name uncultured bacterium. RNAcentral's name for it is "partial 16S ribosomal RNA". It matches the Rfam family "Bacterial small subunit ribosomal RNA", at positions 29 to 526 of the family's 1533-position model. The record is from RNAcentral.
AUUGAACGCUGGCGGCAGGCCUAACACAUGCAAGUCGAACGAGUGGCGGACGGGUGAGUAAUGUCUGGGAAACUGCCCGAUGGAGGGGGAUAACUACUGGAAACGGUAGCUAAUACCGCAUACCAUCGGAUGUGCCCAGCUGGGAUGAGCUUGUAGGUGAGGUAACGGCUCACCUAGGCGACGAUCCCUAGCUGGUCUGAGAGGAUGACCAGCAACACGGGAACUGAGACACGGUCCAGACUCGUAAGGGAGGGAGAAGGGGGGAAUAUUGCACAAGUGGCGCAAUACUGAUGCAGCCAUGCCGCGUGUAUGAAGAAGGCCUUCGGGUGGUAAAGUACUGUCAGCGGGGAGGCGUUACCCUCAGAAGAAGCACCGGCUAACUCCGUGCCAGCCGCCGCGGUAAUAC